Molecule: unclassified non-coding RNA, 334 nt
Filed under: Acacia koa
Lineage: Eukaryota; Viridiplantae; Streptophyta; Magnoliopsida; Fabales; Fabaceae
Description: contains external transcribed spacer and 18S ribosomal RNA
Source: RNAcentral
CGGUCGGCAGGCGAUCCGCGUCGGUCGUGCGAGGGUGGUAUGGUUCCCCCAGAGGCCGGUUCUUGUGCUGCCUACCCCUUCAGGGGAAUCGGGCCACUUGAUGUAAGCCUCCAUCCGGCGCCUUCCAACGGGCGCAGGAGGACAACAGGGCACCCCCCGCGUUCCACCGAUCCUCCUUGGUCGCGUGGCCCGUGGGGACGUGCGACGCUCUCGGACCCAGCGAACGCCGUGGGCGAGGACUCACGUCCCAGUCCCGAAAAGAAGCUCCGAUAUAAUGCAAGACGGCCGCUCCCGCCCCCCCGGGGGCGAGGCGCGGCGUUGCAGAGGAAUGCUA